AAGGCAUUAACUACCGAGAACCGAAAAACAAGUACUCCAACCCACUUCUACCUUCUUCUUCUUCUUCUCCUCUUCCUUCUUUCUAUUUACCAGGCUCAUAUGACAAAAAGCCCCACCCAGUUACGCCUAUUACUCCAGAUUAUUUACCAGAGGGUCAAUUCUAUGUCCGGUUCUCGCCGGUUCCGAUUUGCACCUAGUGAGUACACUAGGGCGUGAUUCGAUUGCAGACACCAGUUCAACUCCUUUUUGGUCAGAUGAUAAUUCCUCAACCUUUUCUUCGUGGGUGAGUGAGGCAAUUUUCGUUCCGAGAAACCCAAGUUUGGUGUCCGUUUGGGGUUCCUCGGAGGCAGGUUCCGUGUCCGGAAAGUCCGUUUCUUGGUCCUUAACGGGGGAACUCCAAAACCUACAAGCCAGCGACGAGGAUCUGUACGGGGCGGAUCUACAACGGGUCAACAACAAAGCGUUUUUCGGGGGCGUGCUAGGGUUGGAAGCAAAAGAAACGAUAUUUUUAUCCGCAUUGGUUCUUUCUUCGGAGGCUGAUUCCGAUUCUUGGUGGUGGUUGGGCCGGGAGUGUUGCUUGGACUUUCGACGGAAGAAGGGCCAGGUGAGGCAGAAGGGCCGGUAGCGGCAGGGGUUGGACUUUGGAACCCAGCGACAGCGGCAGCGCGUGGGAGGGACGUCGCGUUUGGUGUUGGAAGAGCGUUUAACUCGAACUUGCCCCAUGCAGGUGACCUUGGGGGAAGAAGGUUCCUGGGUGGUUUGUGUUUGGAUGUUGGUGGUGGUUUUCUUGCGCAGGAACAUUGGGCUUGACCUGGACCUUCUGCUUUUGCUCCCUGCAUUGCUCCUGAGGAACCUCAUGAGUGGUGGAGGGAAUUUGUCUGUCCGACCCGGACUCGAAACGGGUUUGCCCGAUAGCUUCAUGUCCAGUGCUUGAGGGAAGGUUUUUGUUCCACUCUUCCCCGAAAGUGUGUGUUGUGUGAGAGAGGUUUGGUUUGGUGUGUUGUAAAACGCAAUCGAGAUGGGGUAUGUCUGAGGGAGCUUGCUUUCUGCAAAAUGCUUUUCCCAUUUUUGUUUUUUUGCUAUGGACUUUUUUAUUUUUAUUGCAUCUUCGCACGGAUGGAUGAAUCCCCUUUACUGUCAAGAUCUUUUUUUUUUAUUAUUAUUAUUUCCACCUUCUCAUACAAC
Molecule: long non-coding RNA, 1185 nt
Organism: Vigna angularis (adzuki bean)
Lineage: Eukaryota; Viridiplantae; Streptophyta; Magnoliopsida; Fabales; Fabaceae
Exons: 2
Source: RefSeq, a predicted model, not a curated record